Molecule: ribosomal RNA, 326 nt
Filed under: uncultured eukaryote
Lineage: Eukaryota
Description: partial 18S ribosomal RNA
Rfam family: Eukaryotic small subunit ribosomal RNA
Source: RNAcentral
CCCUUAGAUGUUCUGGGCCGCACGCGCGCUACACUGACGAAUGCAACGAGCUUAUAACCUUGGCCGAAAGGUCUGGGUAAUCUCCAAAUUUCGUCGUGAUGGGGAUAGAUUAUUGCAAUUAUUAAUCUUCAACGAGGAAUGCCUAGUAAGCGCAAGUCAUCAGCUUGCGUUGAUUACGUCCCUGCCCUUUGUACACACCGCCCGUCGCUCCUACCGAUUGAAUGGUCCGGUGAAGCGUUCGGACCGUGGCCUUGGACGGUUCGCCGUCUGUUGGCUGCGGGAAGUUCGUUAAACCUUAUCAUUUAGAGGAAGGAGAANUCGUAACA